RNAcentral lists this ribosomal RNA (429 nucleotides) under uncultured Chlamydiae bacterium. RNAcentral's name for it is "bacterial SSU rRNA". It matches the Rfam family "Bacterial small subunit ribosomal RNA", at positions 958 to 1385 of the family's 1533-position model. The record is from RNAcentral. Lineage: Bacteria; Pseudomonadati; Chlamydiota; Chlamydiia.
AACGCGAAGAACCUUACCCAGAUUUGACAUGCUAGAGGAAUUAUGCAGAAAUGUAUAAGCCCUUCGGGGCCUUUAGCACAGGUGCUGCAUGGCUGUCGUCAGCUCGUGCCGUGAGGUGUUGGGUUAAGUCCCGCAACGAGCGCAACCCUUAUCAUUAGUUGCCAUCACUUCGGGUGGGCACUCUAAUGAGACUGCCUGGGUUAACCAGGAGGAAGGUGAGGAUGAUGUCAAGUCCGCAUGGCCCUUACAUCUGGGGCUACACACGUACUACAAUGGUCGGUACAGAAGGCAGCUAAGCCGUGAGGUAGAGCAAAUCCUAGAAAACCGAUCCCAGUUCAGAUUGUGGUCUGCAACUCGACCACAUGAAGUCGGAAUUGCUAGUAAUGGCGAGUCAGCAACAUCGCCGUGAAUACGUUCCCGGGCCUUGUA